RNAcentral lists this ribosomal RNA (253 nucleotides) under uncultured microorganism. RNAcentral describes it as "partial 16S ribosomal RNA". It matches the Rfam family "Bacterial small subunit ribosomal RNA", at positions 524 to 776 of the family's 1533-position model. The record is from RNAcentral.
AACGUAGGGGGCGAGCGUUGUCCGGAAUUACUGGGCGUAAAGAGCUCGUAGGCGGUAGUUCAAGUCAGGUGUGAAAUCCGACGGCUUAACCGGAGGGCUGCACCUGAUACUGGGCUGCUAGAGGUAAGGAGAGGAAGGUGGAAUUCCCGGUGUAGCGGUGAAAUGCGUAGAGAUCAGGAGGAACACCGAUGGCGAAGGCAGCCCCCUGGGCCUGUACUGACGCUCAUGCACGAAAGCGUGGGGAGCAAACAGG